AUUGAACGCUGGCGGCAUGCCCUACACAUGCAAGUCGAACGGUAACGGGCCUUCGGGUGCCGACGAGUGGCGAACGGGUGAGUAAUACAUCGGAACGUGCCCGAUCGUGGGGGAUAACGAGGCGAAAGCUUUGCUAAUACCGCAUACGAUCUACGGAUGAAAGCAGGGGACCACAAGGCCUUGCGCGGACGGAGCGGCCGAUGGCAGAUUAGGUAGUUGGUGGGAUAAAAGCUUACCAAGCCGACGAUCUGUAGCUGGUCUGAGAGGAUGAUCAGCCACACUGGGACUGAGACACGGCCCAGACUCCUACGGGAGGCAGCAGUGGGGAAUUUUGGACAAUGGGCGCAAGCCUGAUCCAGCCAUGCCGCGUGCAGGAUGAAGGCCUUCGGGUUGUAAACUGCUUUUGUACGGAACGAAAAGCCUUCUUUUAAUACAGGAGGGUCAUGACGGUACCGUAAGAAUAAGCACCGGCUAACUACGUG
RNAcentral lists this ribosomal RNA (482 nucleotides) under uncultured bacterium. RNAcentral's name for it is "partial 16S ribosomal RNA". It matches the Rfam family "Bacterial small subunit ribosomal RNA", at positions 30 to 507 of the family's 1533-position model. The record is from RNAcentral.